This 293-nucleotide ribosomal RNA is filed under the name uncultured bacterium. Its description in RNAcentral is "partial 16S ribosomal RNA". It matches the Rfam family "Archaeal small subunit ribosomal RNA", at positions 455 to 747 of the family's 1478-position model. The record is from RNAcentral.
GUGCCAGCCGCCGCGGUAAUACCGGCAGCCCGAGUGAUGGCCGAUCUUAUUGGGCCUAAAGCGUCCGUAGCUGGCUGCGCAAGUCCGUCGGGAAAUCCACUCGCCCAACGAGUGGGCGUCCGACGGAAACUGCACAGCUUGGGACCGGAAGGCUCGAAGGGUACGUUCGGGGUAGGAGUGAAAUCCCGUAAUCCCGGACGGACUACCGAUGGCGAAAGCACUCGGAGAAGACGGAUGCGACAGUGAGGGACGAAAGCUCGGGUCUCCAACCGGAUUAGAUACCCGGGUAGUCC